CCUACGGGAGGCAGCAGUGGGGAAUUUUGGACAAUGGGCGAAAGCCUGAUCCAGCCAUGCCGCGUGAGUGAAGAAGGCCUUCGGGUUGUAAAGCUCUUUCGGCGGGGAAGAAAUCGGGUUUCCUAAUACGGAACCCGGAUGACGGUACCCGAAGAAGAAGCACCGGCUAACUACGUGCCAGCAGCCGCGGUAAUACGUAGGGUGCAAGCGUUAAUCGGAAUUACUGGGCGUAAAGCGUGCGCAGGCGGUUGUGUAAGACAGACGUGAAAUCCCCGGGCUCAACCUGGGAACUGCGUUUGUGACUGCACAGCUAGAGUACGGCAGAGGGGGGUGGAAUUCCACGUGUAGCAGUGAAAUGCGUAGAGAUGUGGAGGAACACCGAUGGCGAAGGCAGCCCCCUGGGCCAAUACUGACGCUCAUGCACGAAAGCGUGGGGAGCAAACAGGAUUAGAUACCCUGGUAGUCCACGCCCUAAACGAUGUCAACUAGGUGUUGGUGGGGUUAAACCCAUUAGUGCCGUAGCUANCGCGUGAAGUUGACCGCCUGGGGAGUACGGCGGCAAGGUUAAAACUCAAAGGAAUUGACGGGGAACCGCACAAGCGGUGGAUGAUGUGGAUUAAUUCGAU
Molecule: ribosomal RNA, 626 nt
Filed under: uncultured bacterium
Lineage: Bacteria
Description: bacterial SSU rRNA
Rfam family: Bacterial small subunit ribosomal RNA
Source: RNAcentral